This 77-nucleotide transfer RNA is filed under the name Thermoanaerobacteraceae bacterium. RNAcentral describes it as "tRNA-Asn". It matches the Rfam family "tRNA". From Rfam's summary of the family: Transfer RNA (tRNA) molecules are approximately 80 nucleotides in length. Their secondary structure includes four short double-helical elements and three loops (D, anti-codon, and T loops). Lineage: Bacteria; Bacillati; Bacillota; Clostridia; Thermoanaerobacterales; Thermoanaerobacteraceae. The record is from RNAcentral.
UCUGGGAUAGCUCAGUUGGUAGUAGCAUUCGGCUGUUAACCGAAAGGUCAUGGGUUCAAGCCCCAUUCCCAGAGCCA